GGACUACCGGGGUAUCUAAUCCUGUUCGCUCCCCACGCUCUCGCUCCUCAGCGUCAGAACUGGCCCAGCAAGCCGCCUUCGCCACCGGUGUUCCUCCUGAUAUCUGCGCAUUUCACCGCUACACCAGGAAUUCCGCUUGCCCCUACCAGCCUCUAGCCUGCCCGUAUCCACCGCAGACCCGCAGUUAAGCCACGGGCUUUCACGGCAGACGCGACAGGCCGCCUACGAGCUCUUUACGCCCAAUAAUUCCGGACAACGCUUGCGCCCUACGUAUUACCGCGGCUGCUGGCAC
This 292-nucleotide ribosomal RNA is filed under the name uncultured bacterium. RNAcentral's name for it is "partial 16S ribosomal RNA". The record is from RNAcentral.